Long non-coding RNA from Mauremys mutica (yellowpond turtle), 723 nucleotides. RefSeq lists it as uncharacterized. Lineage: Eukaryota; Metazoa; Chordata; Testudines; Geoemydidae. The record is from RefSeq and is a predicted model, not a curated record. The transcript is spliced from 3 exons.
CUCCAGUACGUCUUCCAAAUACUCAUGGAAAUAUCAGUCAUUCAAAUUUUCAGGGGGAAAUAUGUUCUAAGUAUAUCGAUACAGAUAAAUGGAUAAGCCCAGGCCCUAUAUUUCCUGACCUGACCAGCUGCCUUGACCCUUGAGAAGGUUUUGUAUUUAUGGGAUGUGUAUGUGCAAGAAGAGUCAAAACACAGCCAUUGAUAAAUAGAAUCUAAUCGAGGCUAACAUGGAAUAAACUGAAAAAAAAUCCAGUAAAAAUUACACCAGCAUGCAACAGGAGUUGAGUGUAUGCAACAUCUUGCAGGAUCAGGCUUUACCAGGAGCUCGAACACUAAGGGGAAAUAUUGUAUCCAGCCCUGCAUAGGUUCUUAUGCUGCACUCCAUCCAGAGUGGGAUUUCACUCAAUUACAGCUCAGAAAAAAUCAAAUGCUAUCUUCUCACACAGGGACACUGAACUCCUUAUGGACUUCAUUUUCAAAAUGUUUGUAAUUUGUGUGCAAAAUUACCGUGAUUGUGUGUGAGAUGCUUAGCUGGCCAUUUAUGCAUGCAUAUACCUAAUUUUCAUGCAUAAUUGCCUAAUUUUAUGCAUAAUUUAUGUGCAUCUUAUUACACAAACUCAUUUUUUAAAAUCAGGCCCUAUAUAUGUCAAAUCAUAUGACUUCAUUUCCACACUAGGCAUUUCUGAUCUAGCUCAAUUACAUAAUUUCUGACUCUAAAACAACU